GGUUAGUGGCGGACGGGUGAGUAACACGUGGGAACGUGCCUUUAGGUUCGGAAUAGCUCCUGGAAACGGGUGGUAAUGCCGAAUGUGCCCUUCGGGGGAAAGAUUUAUCGCCUUUAGAGCGGCCCGCGUCUGAUUAGCUUGUUGGUGAGGUAAUGGCUCACCAAGGCUACGAUCAGUAGCUGGUCUGAGAGGAUGACCAGCCACAUUGGGACUGAGACACGGCCCAAACUCCUACGGGAGGCAGCAGUGGGGAAUCUUGCGCAAUGGGCGAAAGCCUGACGCAGCCAUGCCGCGUGGAUGAUGAAGGUCUUAGGAUUGUAAAAUCCUUUCACCGGUGAAGAUAAUGACUGUAGCCGGAGAAGAAGCCCCGGCUAACUUCGUGCCAGCAGCCGCGGUAAUACGAAGGGGGCUAGCGUUGCUCGGAAUUACUGGGCGUAAAGGGAGCGUAGGCGGACAUUUAAGUCAGGGGUGAAAUCCCAGAGCUCAACUCUGGAACUGCCUUUGAUA
This 507-nucleotide ribosomal RNA is filed under the name uncultured Brevundimonas sp. RNAcentral's name for it is "bacterial SSU rRNA". It matches the Rfam family "Bacterial small subunit ribosomal RNA", at positions 90 to 632 of the family's 1533-position model. Lineage: Bacteria; Pseudomonadati; Pseudomonadota; Alphaproteobacteria; Caulobacterales; Caulobacteraceae. The record is from RNAcentral.